Molecule: non-coding RNA, 72 nt
Organism: Ictidomys tridecemlineatus (thirteen-lined ground squirrel)
Lineage: Eukaryota; Metazoa; Chordata; Mammalia; Rodentia; Sciuridae
Source: Rfam
UGGGGUGUGGCUCAGUGGUAGGGCACUUGCCUCGUACCUGUGAGGCACUGGGUUCGAUCCUCAGCACCACAU